This is a long non-coding RNA of Exaiptasia diaphana, 593 nucleotides long. RefSeq lists it as uncharacterized. Lineage: Eukaryota; Metazoa; Cnidaria; Anthozoa; Actiniaria; Aiptasiidae. The transcript has 2 exons. The record is from RefSeq and is a predicted model, not a curated record.
GGGUACAUCUGUCAACGAUAAGCAAACAAAAAUGAAGUCACAUCAAAUUGUAUYUGUAAUGCUGUUUUCGCUUGUAUUAGGUUGCCUUAUCGACCUAAGCGUGCAAUAUAACGGUGGUUCGCUGUGCCAAGGGUGUCUUGAUCCACCUUGUCCUUGUCGCAGAAGAAUCGCUCUAAUGAAGAGAGCGCUAACAAUGGGAAAAAGAGAAGAUUGGUGUGCUGUAGCCAGGUCUAUGAAUUGUGCCGAUAGCCCUGUCAAAUCAUCUUCCAACGACCAACCAGAGCCCAAACUCUACCAAUAGGCAGCAAAGACGACGCCACGCGCACCUGACGGGCGUGGGGAUUAAUAUCAAUCAAGUCAUAGCAGACAUCGAUUACUUUAAAUGAGUGGGAACUUGUUACUAAUAGCGAUAGCAUUAAGUAGUAGUUUGCAAGGUAUUUUAGUUAUGUAACGAGCUAAUGUAGCUUGGAUUUAAUGGAUAUUGGAGUAAUCCCUUAAUAAUACCAUUAAAACAUUUAGAUGCCUUUAAGUAAACUUUUAUCUAAUUUAUCUCUAUAACUUUUAAGAAUUAAACGUGUUUAAAGGAAACCGGC